Molecule: long non-coding RNA, 244 nt
Filed under: Erythranthe guttata (spotted monkey flower)
Lineage: Eukaryota; Viridiplantae; Streptophyta; Magnoliopsida; Lamiales; Phrymaceae
Description: long non-coding RNA (EGUT_LNC000993)
Source: RNAcentral
ACAAAUCAGCUAUCUGGCAAAUCUUUUCGAAAAUAUUCAGAGAUCCGAUAGUCCCAAACCACAUCCAACCAUCCAAUAUGAAGACAACGAGGUAUUUACAGAUUUUCGUAUGAACGACGAGGCUGAGCACCUUGAGGGAAUUUUUUAUCCCAGUUCUGUAGAUACUUUUGCUUUUGCGUGUGAUGAGAGUGGGAUGAAGAUGAUGGUAGAUGCUGAAUUUGACGAAGAAAAUCCUAUCCAUAUC